Paramormyrops kingsleyae is the source of this 1530-nucleotide long non-coding RNA. RefSeq lists it as uncharacterized. The record is from RefSeq and is a predicted model, not a curated record. NCBI's taxonomy places the organism in Eukaryota, Metazoa, Chordata, Actinopteri, Osteoglossiformes, Mormyridae.
GGCAGAAAGCCGGGAGGAAAGUUAGAAUGACUUAUUUCGAUGCUUGUCAGGAAAAUAAAAAGACUAGCUUGAACGAUGGAAGGGAACUAGGAUUCGCAAUUCGAGGCCAGUUUAUUUAUCAAAAAUGCUGAAGUGAUGCCGUUUUGCACGGCGUCGAUUGGAUUUGAAUGUACCCACUUUUAUUUAUAGUUUUGUAUUUCCUCAUUGGGUAAUUUUAUGAUUCAUGAUCAUAGAAAAAUUGCACCUUGGGAAAAAUCGCAGUUCCUGUGUUUUGAAGAUUCUUGUGGAGGAUUAAGAGGUUUUAUUGCUGCUUUGGCACAACAGCCACACGGACGUGGAUCUGUAAACUCCAGGCUGGUCUGAAUCCCUCCUGCAGGGUCACAUGGUGGAGAUCUUCGAACCAGCCGCAAACUGUGAAUGUCAGAGUGCUGCAGGAUCACGGGGGUCCCCAUCACGUCUAUACAGCCCAGAAGCCCUCGUCCCCUGCCUGAGGCUGCGUUUUCCGCCGGUUAGUGCGAUCACUCGCACGCUCCGGGUUUUCCCGUUAAUGCUCUGGGCUUGGCGAGACGCCCGGGCGGCUGAUCGCGGGUCCCAGAAGGGCUGCUGAGGGUUGGCGUGUUGCUGUGUGUGGAUUCUGUGAUGUGAGCACGCUCCUCAUUUGGCGAGGUGCCGGUGAAGAUGUCUAAGCUGCAGGCCCCCAUGGGGAGAGAUCUGGGUCAAAGGCCUUCACCAGCCGCACAGCCGAAGCAAACAUCAGGACCUGGAUCUUCUUCAACAUGCUCACCAUGUCCCUCUAAUUAAUUUGUAAAUUUCUUCCAUUUUUAAAAAUUUGGAAAUGCAAGUUUUUUUACUUCUGUUCUUUGCCCUAGUAAAGGGGAGACUACACUUCCCUACAAGGAAUGUAGAAAAAUAACACCCUGGAAAAGAGAUCUCGGAAUCUCAGUUAUGCAGGAAUAUUACUGCAUUCAUUCGAACAACUGACCCCAUUCAACAAUUGUCCCUGGUCUCAUCCUACCCGUUAGUGUAGAUCUUGGAAUACAAUAAGUGUAUUGUUUAUUUAUCUUUUUUUGUAAAAUGUCUAAUUUGAACAGUAACUCUGGCUAUAUCCAAAGAGUCAUGCUUCUCUUGCUAGGAUUCCAGAAUGUUCCAAAACCUGGAGCAACGUGGAACUAUUGUGCUGAAAUACUAUUUAGGUUUAAAAAACCUUUCAGGGGUGGUGUGGGGGUGCAGUGGUUAGCACUGUUGCCUCACACCUCUGAGAUCUGGGUCUGAGUCUCUGCUUGGGUUCCAUGUGUGUGGAGUUUGCAUCUUCUCCCUGUGUUGUCAUGGGGUUUACUCUGGGUUCUCUGCCCCGCCCCCCCACAGUCCAAAAACAUUAUGAGGCUGAUUGUUUGUAGGUAUACUUGAGUGAGUGAAUGGUGUAUGAGUGUGAAAUGUGAUUGGUUGGUGCCUCAUCCUGGGAUGUCUGCCUGCCAUAAGCUCCAGACCCCCCACAACCUUGAACAGGAUAAGCACUUAUACAAAAAUGGA